GGGAAUGUAACUUAUUGGUAGAGUGCUUGCCUAGCAUGCAUGAGGCCCUGGGUUCAAUUUCUCAGCACCA
This 70-nucleotide transfer RNA is filed under the name Dipodomys ordii (Ord's kangaroo rat). It matches the Rfam family "tRNA". Rfam says of the family: Transfer RNA (tRNA) molecules are approximately 80 nucleotides in length. Lineage: Eukaryota; Metazoa; Chordata; Mammalia; Rodentia; Heteromyidae. The record is from Rfam by way of RNAcentral.